Long non-coding RNA from Capsicum annuum, 2214 nucleotides. RefSeq lists it as uncharacterized. Lineage: Eukaryota; Viridiplantae; Streptophyta; Magnoliopsida; Solanales; Solanaceae. The record is from RefSeq and is a predicted model, not a curated record. The transcript is spliced from 4 exons.
CCAUUUUUGGGCCAUUUUUUGCCCAGCCCAACAGACCCAACUUCAACAAUUCCCAACCACUAACAUCCUUAACUUUAGCCCAACAACCAACCAAACUCUCCAUCGGCCCACCACUUCACCUUUGUUUUUCCUGCAAACCAAACCAAACCAAAUCAUCAAUUCUCUUUUCCCUUUCUUUUCCCCAUCAAUAUCAAUAACAUACAACAACCAACAAUUCCAGCCAACAACUACAUUAAUAUCAAUAAUUUCAACAAAAACAACAACCAACCACGACUUUCAAACAUCGCCAGACAACAAUAGCUGCAACUACAGUUCAGUACCAACGGUUACCUAAUUUCAAAUUUCAAAAAUUUAUUAGAAAUUCCUCAGUCCCAAAAAUCUUCUAUAAAUACCCAUUGAAAACAGAAGGAAAGGAAGAUUUUGAGGGGGAAAUUGAGGAUUCGGGAAGCACAUGCUUCUAAUCCUACUUAACCCAAAGAAUACUCUCAACAAGAAAAAAAAAGUCAAUUCCGACGAAAGGUCAAAAUUCUGACGAACCAAAAUUGAGACAUCAGUGGGGAAAGUCCAUCAUCGUAGGCUCGUUCUUUCCGGUAUAGCUGUCCAAAAUAGGUAAUGUUUUUUUUUCCUUCUUCUUCUUUCCUGUCUUUUUCCUUGAUUCUGUAGGUAACUUGAGGAAUAGAAAUUGAAAAUGCCUAUAUUGAAGUGGGUUUGUUGGUUGUUCUUCAUGAUGUGUAUAAAACCGAUUGAAAGAUAUUCUCAUUUAUAGUAAGAGUUGUCCGUUAGAAUUUAUUGAUCUCGUGUUGCUAAAUGUAUAACAGCUAUAUGGCUUCAAAAUUAUUUCAACCUUUGAAUCUUGUGUCCACCUUUUGUGCUAAAAGUUAGAAAUGAUUAAAAGAAGAAAAGGAAAAGCUGGGUAGGGUAUUGGAUCAUUACUAAAAGAAUAAGUUAAAGGUAGGCUGUGGAUAAUAGUAAUAUAAUGUUAGGCAAAUAAUUAGCUAGUUAGCAGUGGAUAGUAAUAUUUUAUUGUUUGUUUUCUCAUUAUGCACUACAGGUUAUAACUUUUACUAUUCAUUCAUCAUUUUGAGCUGUUCUACCUAGAAACUAUCCGUCGUAAUUUUUUUUAGUAAUACAUUGAUUUAAGUUAUGGAGAAGUGAAUAUAAAUAUAUGUCUUGUAGUGUAUGAGUUAAUUAAUUAAAUUUUGUAUGAAUCAUGUGAUAAUGUUGGUUGUGACGUGUGGUCCAUCUUUUAACCUUUAUUUCUGAUUUGACUUGUAACUCCGUUACUACGUGCAUUGGGUUUCAUUUUUCUUCUUCUUUCGGUUAAUUCUCAUUCUUACUAUGUAUUUGUAUGGAUACUAAUUUUACAUUUUUUUUUAUAUGCAUGAACUCCUCCACCGAGUCCCUCGGACUCCCAUCGCUCGUAUUCGAUUGGGCUAAACCCAACUUUCAUCGAGUCAAGAUCAUACCAACUCCACAAAAUGGAUUAAUAUACCAUGGAAAGCAGCUGGUAUACACGAGAUAUACUAGAAAAAUGCAGAGGAAUACAGAUGAUGAUUCACGUUUGCCACCAAAAUCCUUGCUUGCUGGAGACUUGUCUACAUAGUGUUCUUCAAUCACCACUCAAAAUGGUUUGUGCUUGCAAUAUAAUAUAGGGCAAUCAAUUGAAAGUAUUGACAGAAAUAGUAAACUAAUGGGUAUUGAACAAAUGUUGGAGAUUGAAAUAGCUGAAGGGCAACAAUCCGAGAUUAAGAGGUUACAACAUAUGAAAGGCUCACAGUUUCCAGUUGAUUUCAUAAUGUCCGACCAUAUGAAAGCGACAGUAAAGUUCAUGUGUGACUACAUACUAGAGCUUGCGCGUGACUCUAGUAAUGUAAUCACACCAAACUUUAUGGUAGAUGAAAUGAAAAAAAAAUACGGAAUAAUCAUAUCCUACAACAAAGGAUGGCGAGCUAUACAACAUGUGUAUAUGGUGAUAAGAAGAACACCUGAAGAGCACUACACAGGUUGCCAUCGUAUCUUCACAUGAUGAAAGAAAACAACCCGAGUACGUACACAAACAUCAAGAGGGACGAUGAGAACAGGAACACAUGCUAUAUUGUUGAAAUAAAAAACUUUUUCCCAAGAGGCAAAAGGUUAUUCCUUAAUUGCACUACUUAGAUUACUGACAUAUAUGCAACUCUUGCCUCAUAGGAAAGACUUAGAUUAAAAAAUUCU